UAGUGAUUCUCUGUUUCUUCUUCGUGGACUGAAACAUAACUGCAGAGAAUUCUGAGCACUCGACACGCUGUUGCCCUGUCUCCUGAUUAUUCUCCUGUAUUUCAGGAACUUUAUCUGCUGACGUGGUUCUGCCGCUGCAUGUACCCGUUACACAAUCACUAUCAAUCUCUACAUUCAGUCUAUAUUGCACUUGAUCUCUUGUGAUAAACUGGCAGCAGAAUCAACACAAGAGACAUAUCUUUCCUAAGAAACUCUUUUCCUCAUUCCACACAUCGACAUCUAAAACAGGUUUUAAGGUUUGCACUUGACUUUUAUUGUACAGCUUUCUAAAAAACUAAACUGAUGGGUCUUUUAAUGAACUUAUCAACUGUAAAUAUCAAAUAUUCAAUAUACAUUUCAUACACAAAGUACAAUCAUUUUCUGUUAUUAGAAAACUGACAUUAUUGUCUGGAUUGUUUGUUUUGUUUUUAAUCCUGUCUGUAAUGUUAUGAGAGUUCAUAAGAAGAUUAUAAAGUUAUUAUUACUGGCUUAGUAUUUAUUUUAAGUGUGUCACUGAACAUAAUCGACUCAAAUAAGUUGCACAUUUAUGACUCAAAUUGUUGAUAACUCAAAUAAUUUUUUUCACUUUUGCACCUUACUAUAUGAUGAUUGAAAUAAUAAUGUUUUAUUUUGUUUUUAUUUGUAGAUCAUGAGUAAAAACAAGUGUACAUUAAGAAAAAAGCAUUAUUUUUGAUUGUUUGGGAUCCAGUUUGUAUUCCAGGAUUUAAAAACAAUAAACUUCAAAAUAAUCCUAAAUGAUGAAUUUGGGAAGUUAAACUUCUUCUUUCAGAUCUGUAAUAUUUUCAUAGCAAUAACUGCACUUACAUUUUUCAGCACUUGCACUGAAAUUAACUCAUUUUCCUUUAUAUGAUUAAACAGUGUUUGUUAAUUUAAUCUUUUAUCACUGGUGUUAUUCACUGAAACACUGUCACAUUAUAUAGGAUACGUUACAAAUCCAGGUUAUUGUAGCUAUGUAUUUGUUUUAUGGUAAAUCUAUAGGUUUAAACUCCCUGAAGUUGUAUUGUUUGAACAUACGGCAGCGUGGAUUUAUGGUGUUCAUGUGUUUUCUUAACAGCUGUAACAAAAAAUAUGAUAAAACAAUCUGUAAGUAUUAACUCUUGAGCAUCAAUAAAAAAAAAGUUAUACAUAGGUUCUGGACAUAAAUAUCCAUGUCAAAAAACUGAUAUAAACAUUUUAAUCUUAGGAGCACAGACAUAAGUUUGGUCUCAUUUAAAAGACAUUUGUUGAAGUAAAAGAAA
Molecule: long non-coding RNA, 1298 nt
Organism: Puntigrus tetrazona (Sumatra barb)
Lineage: Eukaryota; Metazoa; Chordata; Actinopteri; Cypriniformes; Cyprinidae
Exons: 2
Source: RefSeq, a predicted model, not a curated record